CCUACGGGGGGCAGCAGUGAGGAAUAUUUGUCAAUGGGCGCGAGCCUGAACCAGCCAAGUAGCGUGAAGGAUGACUGCCCUACGGGUUGUAAACUUCUUUUAUAAAGGAAUAAAGUGAGGCACGUGUGCCUUUUUGUAUGUACUUUAUGAAUAAGGAUCGGCGAACUCCGUGCCAGCAGCCGCGGUAAUACUGAGGAUCCGAGCGUUAUCCGGAUUUAUUGGGCUUAAAGGGAGCGUAGAGGGGUUGUUAAGUCAGUUGUGAAAGUUUGAGGCUCAACCGUAAAAUGGCAAUUGAUACUGGCAGGCUUGAGUACAGUUGAGGUAGGCGGAAUUCGUGGUGUAGCGGUGAAAUGCUUAGAUAUCACGAAGAACUCUGAUUGCGAAGGCAGCUUCCUAAACUGCCACUGACAUUGAUGCUCGAAAGUGAGGGGAUCAAACAGGAUUAGAUACCCCUGUAGUC
Molecule: ribosomal RNA, 460 nt
Filed under: uncultured bacterium
Lineage: Bacteria
Description: partial 16S ribosomal RNA
Rfam family: Bacterial small subunit ribosomal RNA
Source: RNAcentral